CCUACGGUGUGCAGCAGUGGGGAAUAUUGGGCAAUGGGCGAAAGCCUGACCCAGCAACGCCGCGUGAAGGAAGAAGGCUUUCGGGUUGUAAACUUCUUUUGACAGGGAAGAGAAGAAGACGGUACCUGUCGAAUAAGCCACGGUUAACUACGUGCCAGCAGCCGCGGUAAUACGUAGGUGGCCAGCGUUGGUCGGAUUUACUGGGUGUAAAGGGAGUGUAGCCGGGCUGACAAGUCAUGUGUGAAAUCGGGGGGCUCAACCCCCGGACUGCAUUUGAAACUGGUGGUCGUGAGUAUCAGAGAGGCAGGCGGAAGUCCUAGUGUAUCGGUGAAAGGCGUAGAUAUUAGGAGGCACCCCAGUGGCGAAGGCGGCCUGCUGGACGACAACUGACGGUGAGGCGCGAAAGCGUGGGGAGCAAACAGGAUUAGAUACCCCAGUAGUC
This 442-nucleotide ribosomal RNA is filed under the name uncultured bacterium. Its description in RNAcentral is "partial 16S ribosomal RNA". It matches the Rfam family "Bacterial small subunit ribosomal RNA", at positions 338 to 795 of the family's 1533-position model. The record is from RNAcentral.